Molecule: ribosomal RNA, 3384 nt
Filed under: Triticum aestivum (bread wheat)
Lineage: Eukaryota; Viridiplantae; Streptophyta; Magnoliopsida; Poales; Poaceae
Description: partial small subunit ribosomal RNA
Source: RNAcentral
AUGGCAUCUUCCGGUGUCUUGUUUCCAGGUUUUGUUUGGUUUCUGUGCCUCUUUGGCUUUUUUUGCUGCCUGCCAUUAGCCAUCUGCGAUGAAACCGAAAAUGAUAGACAAUCCCUUCUUUGCUUCAAGUCCUGGCUCUCGGGUCCAGCGGGAGUUUUAGCUUCAUGGAGCAACACGUCCCUCGACGUUUGCGAGUGGCAUGGGAUCACCUGCAGCACGGUGUCCCCUCGGCGUGUGAUUGCGCUGGACCUUGACUCAGAAGGCAUCUCAGGCUCCAUAUCACCUUGCAUUGCCAACCUGACCUCUCUUACAAGGCUGCAACUGUCAAAUAAUAGCUUCAGUGGCGGCAUACCAUCAGAGCUUGGCCUCCUGAGCCGGCUCCGCGACCUCAACCUCAGCAUGAACACUUUGGAAGGUAACAUCCCGCCUGAACUCUCUGCAUGUUCGCAACUCCAAAUCCUUGGUUUGUGGAACAAUUCCCUCCACGGAGACAUCCCACCUAGCCUUAGCCAAUGCAAACAUCUUCAAGAGAUUAACCUUCGCAACAAUAACCUCCAAGGAAGCAUCCCUUCUGCUUUUGGGAAUCUCCCUGAGCUGCGCAUACUAGUUCUCGCUAGCACUGGGCUUACCGGCAACAUACCUCCAUCUUUAGGCAGCAGCCCUCAUCUCACAUAUGUCGAUCUUGGGAACAAUGCUCUCUUAGGGGUCAUCCCAGAGUUCCUAGCAAACAGUUCAUCUCUUCAAGUACUUCGACUCAUGAAAAAUAAUUUUACUGGAAAACUCCCAAGUGCUCUCUUCACCACUUCUUCACUUAUUGCUAUUUGCCUCCAACAGAACAGUUUUGUUGGUUCAAUACCUUCUGUUACUGCCACAUCUCCCCCAAUUAAAUAUCUCUACUUAAGGAAGAACCAUCUUUCAGGAAUAAUACCUUCCUCACUAGGCAACCUGUCCUCCCUGGUUCAUCUUCGCCUUGCAGAAAAUCAGUUAGUUGGGAGCAUCCCAGAGAGCUUAGGUUAUAUUCCUACACUAGAGACAUUGACCUUGGACAUAAACAACUUAUCUGGGCCAGUCCCAUUGUCUUUACUCAACAUGUCAUCCCUCACAGUUCUUGCCAUCGCAAAAAACUCUCUUGUCGGAAAAUUACCCUUCGACAUCGGCCACACGCUUCCAAAUAUUCAGAGAUUAAUACUAUCAGAGAACAGUUUUGAUGGGCCAAUCCCAGCCUCUCUUCUCAAAGCUUACAGCCUACGCAUGCUUCACCUGGAUAAUAAUAGGUUUACUGGAUUCAUACCAUUCUUCGGUUCACUGCAAAAUUUAGAGAAACUUGAUCUGGGGCACAACAAGCUAGAAGCAGGUGAUUGGGGCUUUGUUUCUUCACUAUCAAAUUGCUCCAGGUUGAGUAUGCUGGGGCUGGAUGGAAACAACCUCCAAGGGAAAUUACCAAGUUCUAUUGGCAAUCUUUCCAAUAGUCUUGAGUCAUUGUGGCUAAGUAGCAACCAAAUUUAUGGGCCUAUACCACCUGAGAUUGGCAACCUUAAGAGCCUCAAUAAUUUGUACACGGGUAAUAAUCUUCUCACUGGAAAUAUACCACCAACACUUGGGAAACUGCAUAGAUUGGUCUAUCUAUCCUUAGCAGAAAACCGGCUUUCCGGGCAGAUUCCAGAUACUAUUGGCAAUCUUGUCCAGCUGAGUAUGCUGAAAUUGGAUUGGAACAACUUUAGUGGAAGGAUACCAGCAAGUAUAGCACAUUGCACUCAACUGAGUAUACUCAACCUUGCUCACAACUCACUAGUUGGGAGUAUACCAAGCAAAAUCUUCAAAAUCUCUACACUUACUGAAGAGUUGGACUUGUCACACAAUUACUUGUCUGGAGAAAUGCCUGACGUCGGCAAUCUGAUUCAUCUGAAGAAAAUGAACAUGUCAAAUAACAGGCUGUCUGGCGACAUACCAUCAACUCUCGGCCAGUGUGUGGAUCUGGAGUAUCUUGAGAUGCAAAGCAACUUCUUUAUAGGAAGCAUUCCACAGUCUUUUGCCAGAUUAUCCAACAUAAAAAAUAUGGAUAUUUCUCAGAACAAUUUGUCCGGAGAAAUACCAGAGCCUCUCAAAUCCUUGAAACACCUCCAAUACCUCAAUUUAUCCUUCAACCAGUUUCGUGGACCAAUUCCGAGAGGUGGUGUUUUUGACAUUGCUGGUGCAGUAUCAAUUGAAAGAAGUUAUCAUCUGUGUACAAGCUUUCCAACAGGAGGUAUGUCCCUUUGCUCUGCACUGGUUGACAAGAAAAGAAAACACAAGUCAUUGAUUCUUGUCCUAGAGAUUGUGUUGCCCAUUGUUGGUGUCACUAUGAUUAUUAUGUCAUGUAUUGUGAUAAUUUAUCGGAAGAAGAGAAUGCAAGCCAAUCUCCAUUUGCAACAUGUCAAUGAGCACACAAAAAAGAUAUCAUAUGAAGACAUUGUAAAGGCAACAGAUAGAUUCUCUUCUGCAAACUUAAUUGGUUCUGGAUCAUUUGGAAGGGUUUAUAAGGGCAGUCUCCAGUUUCAAGAAGAUCAAGUUGCCAUCAAGAUUUUUGACCUUGACAUUUAUGGAGCACAUAGGAGCUUCAUAGCAGAGUGUGAAGCCCUUCGUAAUGUGCGCCAUCGAAAUCUUGUAAAAAUCAUUACUUCAUGCUCUUCAGUGGAUCAUAGUGGGGCAGAUUUCAAGGCCCUAGUGUUCCCAUACAUGCCAAAUGGUAACCUAGAAAUGUGGCUACACCCGGCGGAUCAUGAACAUGGUGAAAGAAAUACUCUGUCAUUAAGCCAAAGGAUUAAUGUAGCCUUGGAUGUAGCGUUUGCUUUGGAUUAUCUUCACAACCAGUGUGCAUCUCCAAUUAUACAUUGCGACUUGAAGCCAAGCAAUAUUCUUUUGGGUCUUGAUAUGGCUGCAUACGUCAUCGACUUUGGCCUAGCAAGAUUUUUGUUCAGCGCGCCAAAUGCACAUCAAGACAGUUCAAUAAGUGCCUGCCACCUAAAAGGAUCCAUAGGAUACAUUCCACCAGAGUAUGGCAUCAGUGGACAGAUAUCAACCAAGGGCGAUGUCUACAGUUUUGGGGUGCUUCUGUUACAACUGAUAACAGGGUGCAGUCCAACUGAUGACAAAUUCAGUGAUGGUAUAAGCCUUCAUGACUUUGUUGGUAGAGCAUUUACAAAGAAUAUUCAUGAGGUUGUUGAUCCCACAAUGCUACAAGACGACAGGAAUGCAGCUGACCUGAUGAAGAAUUGUGUUAUCCCACUGAUUGCAAUCGGCCUCUCUUGCUCCACGACAUCACCAAAAGACCGGCCAGAUAUGGGACAAGUUUCUACUGAUAUCCUUAGAAUCAAGCACGCGGCCUCACACAUGCGUGCCAGAUGA